GUGCUUGCUUCGCCAGCACAUAUACCAAAAUUGGAAUGAUUCAGAGAAGAUUAGCAUGGCCCCUGCACAAGAAUGGCACAUGUAAGAAGAACUUUGGAGACUAUUGU
This is a small nuclear RNA of Sorex fumeus (smoky shrew), 107 nucleotides long. Lineage: Eukaryota; Metazoa; Chordata; Mammalia; Eulipotyphla; Soricidae. The record is from RefSeq and is a predicted model, not a curated record.